GGGAGGCGGCCGACGGCGGGAGUUGGGGGGGGCGGGGCUCCGGCCUGGGGAACGGUCGCGGAGGGCGGGGCGGCCCGGUAGAGGCCACGACCGUGCAGACCGGCCGCCGCCAGAAGAGAGGAAGCGUGAGAAACGACGAGACCCUGCCGGUGGCGACAACGUGGACCCAAGGCCCUCGUGUACAAACUGAAAAACACACAGAGACACAACGUCGGAUCAGAGAAGAAUCUGGCGCUCGCCGGAGGGGGGCGGGGAUGGGGGUGUCCAGGCUUCCAGGUGCAGCUCAGGGAACAGUCGGUGCUGAUGUAGCAGCGACACCGGCGGGUCACUGUCGUGCACCUGAGACCAGUGGAGCACGUGUGCCAAGUGCACUUCCGCUGAAAGAGGAAGGGAGCAAAUCCGUGCCCACUGCCAGGAUAUCAAGGGUGUGCAAACGGCCACGCACAUGACCAGGAUUCCCUGAAAAGGCCUCGCUGGCAUCCCGUUCCCGGUACGUGGACUCACGGAGGGUUGGUGUGGGGUCCUCGGGCGGAACGGCCGGGCAGACCUGGGGGUGGCCUCCCAGGAGGGCGAGCUAGGCCCCCACAGUCAGGAGUCACUUCCUGGAUGGCCCAUGAGCAUCCCUGGGUCCUACGGGAGGAGCAUGACCCGGGGAAGAGAGCCCAGCGCGGGGAGGUUUUGAUCAGACAGACAGACGUGGCUUCGGAAGACUCCCCAGCAGCUGUCUUCCUGCUGCCCUAUCACCUGGAUCGGCUUCUGAGUCCCCAAACCCUGCUGGGUGGGCUUCUCCCCUCCGUCGUUGACAGAGACGCCGAGCGGGGCUCCACUCCGGCGGCGGUAAACCCCAGCUUCCUUCACCUUUGCUGAGCCCCGGGUGCCCUUGGUGCCCGGUGAAGGCCGCACGCUUCUUCUUGGAAAAGUGUUUUCAAACACGCGUAGUAAAGCACAUAGCAUUAGGGUGGAGAUCAAUUACCCUGGAAUAGGGUCGGUGAAAUAUCUGUGGUGUAGAAACCACGUGUUUAUUAGCGUGUUAAAAAACGAGAUCCGGCGUCGGUCCAACUACUAUCCUUUUGAUGUAACGAGGAAAAAAAUCCAGCAUCUCCACAUGUCUGCAGUAGCUGGACGUGCAAACGUCUCAUCAUUUCUGUUGGUGACAAAGUCACAGGUGAUGUGAGCACGAAUGAGCCUUGUUCUCUGCACUAGUCAUGGGAGAAAUUGCUGAAUUUCAGUUAGAGAUUAGGGAAAAUAAAGAUAUAAUCCACACACCA
Molecule: long non-coding RNA, 1268 nt
Filed under: Felis catus (domestic cat)
Lineage: Eukaryota; Metazoa; Chordata; Mammalia; Carnivora; Felidae
Description: lncRNA (ENSFCAG00000051513.1)
Source: RNAcentral